GUGGGGAAUUUUGGACAAUGGGCGCAAGCCUGAUCCAGCAAUGCCGCGUGCAGGAAGAAGGCCUUCGGGUUGUAAACUGCUUUUGUACGGAACGAAACGGUCCUGGUUAAUACCCGGGGCUAAUGACGGUACCGUAAGAAUAAGCACCGGCUAACUACGUGCCAGCAGCCGCGGUAAUACGUAGGGUGCAAGCGUUAAUCGGAAUUACUGGGCGUAAAGCGUGCGCAGGCGGUGCUGUAAGACAGGCGUGAAAUCCCCGGGCUUAACCUGGGAAUUGCGCUUGUGACUGCAGUGCUGGAGUGCGGCAGAGGGGGAUGGAAUUCCGCGUGUAGCAGUGAAAUGCGUAGAUAUGCGGAGGAACACCGAUGGCGAAGGCAGCCAUCUGGCCUAAUACUGACACUGAGGUGCGAAAGCAUGGGGAGCAAACAGGAUUAGAAACCCGUGUAGUCC
RNAcentral lists this ribosomal RNA (450 nucleotides) under uncultured bacterium. RNAcentral describes it as "partial 16S ribosomal RNA". It matches the Rfam family "Bacterial small subunit ribosomal RNA", at positions 354 to 796 of the family's 1533-position model. The record is from RNAcentral.